Molecule: long non-coding RNA, 317 nt
Organism: Melanotaenia boesemani (Boeseman's rainbowfish)
Lineage: Eukaryota; Metazoa; Chordata; Actinopteri; Atheriniformes; Melanotaeniidae
Exons: 2
Source: RefSeq, a predicted model, not a curated record
AAAAACUUCAUCAAAUCCUAUCACAUGACUGAUCACCGCUGCGCCAAGUCUGGAGUCAUUUUUGUUACAAAGAAAUCAGGUCGUCAGAUCUGUGUGGCUCCGACUCUGUCCUGGGUCGAGAACAUCAUGAAGUUCGUGGAUGAGAGCUCCUUUUAAACGGGUGACCUGCUCAUCACGAAGACGUCUUCAUCAGUAAAAAUUAAAUCAGAAUGUUGUUUCCUUUCUUUUAAUUUUGCUUUAACAUGUUUUUUUUAUUAUUAUGCUCAUUAUCCAACAGUAUAAACCUUGUUGCAAUAAAGUUUGUAGUUUUAAAUGUU